This 301-nucleotide ribosomal RNA is filed under the name uncultured bacterium. RNAcentral's name for it is "partial 16S ribosomal RNA". It matches the Rfam family "Bacterial small subunit ribosomal RNA", at positions 509 to 807 of the family's 1533-position model. The record is from RNAcentral.
CAGUAGCCACGGUAAUACGUAGGUCCCGAGCGUUGUCCGGAUUUAUUGGGCGUAAAGGGAGCGUAGGCGGCGUGGUAAGUCAGAUGUGAAAUCCCGGGGCUCAACCCCGGAACUGCAUCCGAUACUGCCAUGCUAGAGGAUUGGAGAGGUAGCUGGAAUUCUUGGUGUAGCAGUGAAAUGCGUGGAGAUCAAGAGGAACACUCGUGGCGAAAGCGAGCUACUGGACAAUAACUGACGCUGAGGCUCGAAGGCCAGGGUAGCGAAAGGGAUUAGAUACCCGUGUAGUCCCUGUCUCUUAUAC